GACGAAGGGGGCUAGCGUUGUUCGGAAUUACUGGCGUAAAGCGAGUAUAGGUGGUUUGUCCAAGUUGGAUGUGAAAGCCUUGAGCUCAACUCAAGAAAUGCAUUCAGGACUGGGCGGCUAGAGGACCGGAGAGGAUAGUGGAAUUCCCAGUGUAGUGGUGAAAUACGUAGAGAUUGGGAAGAACACCAGUGGCGAAGGCGGCUAUCUGGACGGUUUCUGACACUAAGACUCGAAAGCGUGGGGAGCAAACAGG
RNAcentral lists this ribosomal RNA (253 nucleotides) under uncultured bacterium. Its description in RNAcentral is "partial 16S ribosomal RNA". It matches the Rfam family "Bacterial small subunit ribosomal RNA", at positions 524 to 776 of the family's 1533-position model. The record is from RNAcentral.